Molecule: long non-coding RNA, 1827 nt
Filed under: Equus caballus (horse)
Lineage: Eukaryota; Metazoa; Chordata; Mammalia; Perissodactyla; Equidae
Description: lncRNA (ENSECAG00000036732.3)
Source: RNAcentral
GUAUUGAAUGAUUUUUUGGUCUACUUUUAUAUAUAUAUAUAACUGUUCUUAAUCUAGAAGAAAUAUAAGCAUAACUUUUAGAUAUACUAUAUAAAUAUAUAUUUACAGAUAUAUAUAUGAUGUGUAGUUGAAGUAUUAAUUUACAUUUGAAUUAAUAUAUAUUACAUAAGAAUUUCAGGAAUGCUUGCCAUUCUCACUUAGCUUUAUACUGACCAAGAGACCUGAGAGGAUUUCUCAUGCCCAUUAAUUGCUGAUAUUCUAAACCACUCACUGAAGGCCUCGUUGGAGUCUGUGUUAGUUUCCUGUGGCCACUGUAAAAAUUACCACACAAUUGGUGGCUUAAACAACAUAAAUUUCUUCUCUUACAGUUUUGGAGGACAGAAGUCUAAAAUCAAGGUGGUAUGUUCUGAGGUUCAUGUCCCCCCAGAAUUCACAUGUUGAAACUCUGCCAUCUAAAGCGAUGGUAUUAUUUCCUCUGGAAGGUAAUUCCGGUCAGAUGAGGUCAUGGGUGGAGCCGCAUGAAUGGUGUUAGUGCUGUUGGAAGAACCAUGGGGACCCUCCUCUCCGUGAGAGGAUACAAUGUGAAGUCAGCAGGCUUCAACCCAGGAGAGGGUUUACACCAGAACCUGACCGUGCUAGCACCCUGAUUUUGGGCUUCCAGGCUCCAGAACUACGAGAAAUAAGUUUCUGUUGUUUUUAAUGUUGAAAGUUUAGCUAAACUGCUCCAUAUUGUUGCCUCAGCAUCCAUUUUGUGUGGUUACGUAGCCUCCAGGGGCCUUGAACUGCGUAGCCCCUCCCUAGAGCGCAUGCCUUAAAGAACAGCCUGCAGAGUCACAGCGACCAAUCCAGCCUUAGCCUGGGAACCCCAAAACAUUCUACCCUUGGACUCUAAUAAAAGCGUAUGUCCCAGAUCCUGCUGCUCAUACUCUGCCUGCACCCUGCCUUGACCUCCCUGUGUGGCUCCUCGAGAUACCUCCUCCAGGACCUGAACCACAUCUAACCACACCCCUUCAAAUCAUCUACCUGCAAAGAAGGAGGGGAAACCCAGAUGUCAGCAGAACAGAGGAGCGGAAGGAUAUUGGAAGAGCAGCAGUUAUAGCAUCUCAAAGAGCGAGUGUUAUGGACAAGAGCCCCGGCGAAGGCCACUGUGCCGUGUGACACCUCCGAUGCCUCAUUUAGAGGGAUUUCAAAAGGAUUAAAUAAUGUAUAUAAAGCAUGCAACAAGGGUUAAAAAAAAUGUGAUUUUGGUCCUCUUGGUUUCUCUGAUGCUGCUGGGGCUCCCAUUUGCCUGAAGGGGCAUUCCUGUGAGUCAGCAUCCUCUCUAAUCAACAUGUUGCAGAAAAGUGUUUACACACAACAUCCAGAGAAGAGGUGGGAUGCCUACCACAGCAUGGCAUGCCUAGCGGUGCCAUGUCCGCAGCCGGGAUCUGAACUGGCGAACCCUGGGUCUCUGAGAAGUGGAACAUGCGAACUUAACCACUGCACCACCGGGACUAUAAUUGUCUGGAGCAGAAGAGAAAAGAUUGAUGUCUGGAUGAGAACAAGAGAACUGAGAAGAUUAAAUUAUUUCAGUAUGAAUCAAAUCACUCAUCUCUUUUCUGCUUAUUGGCUAGAUCACAAAGACGGUUUUACCGACUCUGACUUUUUAUGUCACUGGCCAUGUGGAAUCCUUACAUGCUGCUAGGUCCCCUGUUCUCAUAUUUCAUAGAAGUUCAAAGUAAGAUGAUAUAUCGCAAUUUGCAUUUAUCCUAGAGUUUGUAUAGGUGUUGCAUUUUAGUCUACUAUUCGGGAACAUAUGUAACACAUGGUACAAGGUUAAAAUGAGGA